Molecule: long non-coding RNA, 423 nt
Organism: Culex quinquefasciatus (southern house mosquito)
Lineage: Eukaryota; Metazoa; Arthropoda; Insecta; Diptera; Culicidae
Exons: 2
Source: RefSeq, a predicted model, not a curated record
UUCCAUCAGUUUUCAAUUGAGCAGACAUAAUUAACGAUGGCAAAGGCCAUUUUAUCAACAAAAAAAAAAAGUUGAAUAACCUGUUGGACGGUGAAAUGUUCCAGAUCAGUAUGACUCACGACCACUUUUUGUAGCGCCUAGAACCGUGGUAUUCUACGAGAUUUGGCCAAGACCCAAGAGAUGCGGAAGUGAACGGUUGCUGGUGCCACCGUACACGUUUAAAGUGGCCAUGUCGAUUGACUCCUGAAAUCCGUGACAAGCUCGAAGAAUCGUGACAUUCCAAGGUGGAGAAACCUCUUGACCACGUAAAGAUCCGGAACCAGAAGCAGCAUGGAAAUAACGGUGUGGCCAAAUUGCUUUACUUCGUUUGCUGAAGAUGGCCAGUUUCGGGGUUUUCAAGCCGUCAAGGAAGUGAGUUCAUCG